RNAcentral lists this ribosomal RNA (2355 nucleotides) under Enterobacter cloacae. Its description in RNAcentral is "bacterial LSU rRNA". It matches the Rfam family "Bacterial large subunit ribosomal RNA", at positions 593 to 2925 of the family's 2925-position model. Lineage: Bacteria; Pseudomonadati; Pseudomonadota; Gammaproteobacteria; Enterobacterales; Enterobacteriaceae. The record is from RNAcentral.
GUGACUGCGUACCUUUUGUAUAAUGGGUCAGCGACUUAUAUUCUGUAGCAAGGUUAACCGUAUAGGGGAGCCGAAGGGAAACCGAGUCUUAACUGGGCGUUAAGUUGCAGGGUAUAGACCCGAAACCCGGUGAUCUAGCCAUGGGCAGGUUGAAGGUUGGGUAACACUAACUGGAGGACCGAACCGACUAAUGUUGAAAAAUUAGCGGAUGACCUGUGGCUGGGGGUGAAAGGCCAAUCAAACCGGGAGAUAGCUGGUUCUCCCCGAAAGCUAUUUAGGUAGCGCCUCGUGAACUCAUCUUCGGGGGUAGAGCACUGUUUCGGCUAGGGGGCCAUCCCGGCUUACCAACCCGAUGCAAACUACGAAUACCGAAGAAUGUUAUCACGGGAGACACACGGCGGGUGCUAACGUCCGUCGUGAAGAGGGAAACAACCCAGACCGCCAGCUAAGGUCCCAAAGUCAUGGUUAAGUGGGAAACGAUGUGGGAAGGCACAGACAGCCAGGAUGUUGGCUUAGAAGCAGCCAUCAUUUAAAGAAAGCGUAAUAGCUCACUGGUCGAGUCGGCCUGCGCGGAAGAUGUAACGGGGCUAAACCAUGCACCGAAGCUGCGGCAGCGACACUAUGUGUUGUUGGGUAGGGGAGCGUUCUGUAAGCCGUUGAAGGUGUGCUGUGAGGCAUGCUGGAGGUAUCAGAAGUGCGAAUGCUGACAUAAGUAACGAUAAAGCGGGUGAAAAGCCCGCUCGCCGGAAGACCAAGGGUUCCUGUCCAACGUUAAUCGGGGCAGGGUGAGUCGACCCCUAAGGCGAGGCCGAAAGGCGUAGUCGAUGGGAAACAGGUUAAUAUUCCUGUACUUGGUGUUACUGCGAAGGGGGGACGGAGAAGGCUAUGUCAGCCGGGCGACGGUUGUCCCGGUUUAAGCAUGUAGGCGGAGGUUCCAGGUAAAUCCGGUACCUUAUUAACGCUGAGGUGUGAUGACGAGGCACUACGGUGCUGAAGUGAUAAAUGCCCUGCUUCCAGGAAAAGCCUCUAAGCAUCAGGUAACACGAAAUCGUACCCCAAACCGACACAGGUGGUCAGGUAGAGAAUACCAAGGCGCUUGAGAGAACUCGGGUGAAGGAACUAGGCAAAAUGGUGCCGUAACUUCGGGAGAAGGCACGCUGAUAGGUAGGUGAAGCCCCUGCGGGCGGAGCUGAAAUCAGUCGAAGAUACCAGCUGGCUGCAACUGUUUAUUAAAAACACAGCACUGUGCAAACACGAAAGUGGACGUAUACGGUGUGACGCCUGCCCGGUGCCGGAAGGUUAAUUGAUGGGGUUAGCGGCAACGCGAAGCUCUUGAUCGAAGCCCCGGUAAACGGCGGCCGUAACUAUAACGGUCCUAAGGUAGCGAAAUUCCUUGUCGGGUAAGUUCCGACCUGCACGAAUGGCGUAAUGAUGGCCAGGCUGUCUCCACCCGAGACUCAGUGAAAUUGAACUCGCUGUGAAGAUGCAGUGUACCCGCGGCAAGACGGAAAGACCCCGUGAACCUUUACUAUAGCUUGACACUGAACACUGGUCCUUGAUGUGUAGGAUAGGUGGGAGGCUUUGAAGCGUGGACGCCAGUCUGCGUGGAGCCAUCCUUGAAAUACCACCCUUUAAUGGCUGGUGUUCUAACGUAGACCCGUGAUCCGGGUUGCGGACAGUGUCUGGUGGGUAGUUUGACUGGGGCGGUCUCCUCCCAAAGAGUAACGGAGGAGCACGAAGGUUGGCUAAUCCUGGUCGGACAUCAGGAGGUUAGUGCAAUGGCAUAAGCCAGCUUGACUGCGAGCGUGACGGCGCGAGCAGGUGCGAAAGCAGGUCAUAGUGAUCCGGUGGUUCUGAAUGGAAGGGCCAUCGCUCAACGGAUAAAAGGUACUCCGGGGAUAACAGGCUGAUACCGCCCAAGAGUUCAUAUCGACGGCGGUGUUUGGCACCUCGAUGUCGGCUCAUCACAUCCUGGGGCUGAAGUAGGUCCCAAGGGUAUGGCUGUUCGCCAUUUAAAGUGGUACGCGAGCUGGGUUUAGAACGUCGUGAGACAGUUCGGUCCCUAUCUGCCGUGGGCGCUGGAGAAUUGAGGGGGGCUGCUCCUAGUACGAGAGGACCGGAGUGGACGCAUCACUGGUGUUCGGGUUGUCAUGCCAAUGGCACUGCCCGGUAGCUAAAUGCGGAAGAGAUAAGUGCUGAAAGCAUCUAAGCACGAAACUUGCCCCGAGAUGAGUUCUCCCUGAGACUUUAAGUCUCCUGAAGGAACGUUGAAGACGACGACGUUGAUAGGUCGGGUGUGUAAGCGCAGCGAUGCGUUGAGCUAACCGAUACUAAUGAACCGUGAGGCUUAACCUU